GUUGCCAGUAGCUGACCUUGAUUAUACCAUAAUUACAGCUGAGAUCUCAUCUCGAUUCAGAGCAGGGUUUGCUUUUCUCCAGAUUAGAAGUGGCUAUUUUCUCACAUGAGGGCAUAUCACCCCCACCUCUCAAGAACCAAAAGAAGAUAGUGGUUGAGCUACAGUUUUGGCAACUUAUAUGCAUUGCAUUCUCUUCAGUGGAGAUAUUUGUGGGAGACUCAAGGCUGGCUGCUGAAAUUUGAUUAUCAUGAAUGUCUGAAGAAGCAUUGAAACAGUUUAAUAAUCCAGAAUAACUGUCAUCUUUGUAUCAUUGUGUCAUUUUCCAUUGCCUGUCAUCAUUGUACUGUAUAAUUUCUCAAGUUACCAUAUUCGCUGUGGCAGCAUUUUGCAUUGUUACAUAUUGUUGUUUCAGGUCCCAUGUUUUGGGCCUCUCAAUAUAUUUAUUCA
Long non-coding RNA from Rhineura floridana, 447 nucleotides. RefSeq lists it as uncharacterized. The record is from RefSeq and is a predicted model, not a curated record. NCBI's taxonomy places the organism in Eukaryota, Metazoa, Chordata, Lepidosauria, Squamata, Rhineuridae. The transcript has 3 exons.